This is a non-coding RNA of Picea glauca (white spruce), 119 nucleotides long. The record is from Rfam. NCBI's taxonomy places the organism in Eukaryota, Viridiplantae, Streptophyta, Pinopsida, Pinales, Pinaceae.
AGGUACAAUCAUACCAGCGUUAAUGCACCAGAUAUCAUCGAAACUCUCCAAUUAAGGGUGCUUGGGCUAGAGUGGUACUGGGAUGGGUGACCUCUCGGGAAGUCCUAGUGUUGCAACCC